CCUACGGGUGGCAGCAGUGAGGAAUAUUGGUCAAUGGGCGCGAGUCUGAACCAGCCAAGUAGCGUGAAGGAUGACUGCUCUACGGGUUGUAAACUUCGUUGAUAAAGGAAUAAAGUGACGCUCGUGUGUCUUUUUGUCUGUACUUUAUCAAUAAGGAUCGGCUAACCUCGUUCCAGCAGCCGCGGUAAUACGGAGGAUCCGAGGGUUAUCCGGAUUUAUUGUGUUUAAAGGGAGCGUAGGUGGGUUGUUAAGUCAGAUGUGAAAGUUUGCGGCUCAACCGUAGAAUGGCAAGUGAUACUGGCAGACUUGAGUACAGUAGAGGUAGGCGGAAUUCGUGGUGUAGCGGUGAAAUGCUUAGAUAUAACGAAGAACACCGAUUGCGAAGGCAGCUUACUAAUCUGCCACUGACAUUGAUGCUCGAAAGUGUGGGUAUCAAACAGGAUUAGAUACCCUUGUAGUC
Molecule: ribosomal RNA, 460 nt
Filed under: uncultured bacterium
Lineage: Bacteria
Description: partial 16S ribosomal RNA
Rfam family: Bacterial small subunit ribosomal RNA
Source: RNAcentral